Molecule: long non-coding RNA, 1027 nt
Organism: Tribolium castaneum (red flour beetle)
Lineage: Eukaryota; Metazoa; Arthropoda; Insecta; Coleoptera; Tenebrionidae
Exons: 2
Source: RefSeq, a predicted model, not a curated record
UUAUUAAUAAUAUUGUUAAGUGAAGGGGGCGCUGCUGGUGAAAUUGGCGGGAAAUGAUGACGCGUGAGGCGCGUACGGGCAACGCCUAGUUAGUUGGAAGGACACUGUGGCAGUGUCAAUGUCGUUGUUGAAUCUAAUUUGCUAAUAAAUUAGUUUUUGGGUGAAUUCCGAGUUUCAUUUACAGAGCAGCGGUGGGAUAUUGCUCAAAUAAUCGUUUCCGAUAGAGAGUGGUGAAUUGUGGUGAUUUUGUGAGGAAUUUGUGGGUCGCCAAGACAAGGGCAAAAAAUUGAAGUUUUGGGAAUCUGUACCGUUUCAUUGGUAACAAAAUUGUGUUUUACGACUUGAAAUCGAACAAAUCAAUCGGGUGCUAGCCGAAUUUAUCUGGUUUUUCUGAUUUCUGACGAGUUCUAGGAGUUACGCAACCACACGCUGUCAAUUUUCAUUUGGGUGUGGCUCAAAAGGCGCGAAAAGUUUUCUGGUGAGAUUUUCGCAAUGGGGCGUCACAGGUACCGAGGAAAUGUGGACUCGGACGACUCGGACUCAAGUGACGAUGAGCCACGGCCGAAAAGGUCCGCGCCUGGGGUCUCCACUACAGUAAAUUCACCCCCAGUUUCGGCCGAGUCCGCUAGAAUGGGUGGAAAGGAGCUUAUUACGUUGAAGGGUGUCAACGUCCGAGACCAGGGUUCGAACACGUUGUUCAUCGGUGUGUCACAUGUGAUGGAGGCCUAGUGACCGUUCGCAAUCUAUCGCACCAAGAUCUGGUCUAUCGAAAGGCGCAAAUCGUUACGAGAGCUGAGCCUUGCGAGCAGGAAAGGACAGCUACGACGAAACACCGGUGGUUCCCCGAGGACGUGGAACACGGAAGCGUGGCCGACUGUUAAGUGAAGGGGGCGCUGCUGGUGAAAUUGGCGGGAAAUGAUGACGCGUGAGGCGCGUACGGGCAACGCCUAGUUAGUUGGAAGGACACUGUGGCAGUGUCAAUGUCGUUGUUGAAUCUAAUUUGCUAAUAAAUUAGUUUUUGGGUGAA